RNAcentral lists this ribosomal RNA (492 nucleotides) under uncultured bacterium. RNAcentral describes it as "partial 16S ribosomal RNA". It matches the Rfam family "Bacterial small subunit ribosomal RNA", at positions 29 to 507 of the family's 1533-position model. The record is from RNAcentral.
AGUGAACGCUGGCGGUAGGCCUAACACAUGCAAGUCGAACGGCAGCACAGUAAGAGCUUGCUCUUCCGGGUGGCGAGUGGCGGACGGGUGAGGAAUACAUCGGAAUCUACUUUUUCGUGGGGGAUAACGUAGGGAAACUUACGCUAAUACCGCAUACGACCUACGGGUGAAAGCAGGGGAUCUUUGGACCUUGCGCGAUUGAAUGAGCCGAUGUCGGAGUAGCUAGUUGGCGGGGUAAAGGCCCACCAAGGCGACGAUCCGUAGCCGGUCUGAGAGGAUGAUCGGCCACAUGAGAACUGAGACACGGUCCAUGCGCCUACGGUAGGCAGCAGUGGGGAAUAUUGGACAAUGGGCGCGAGCCUGAUCCAGCCAUAGCGCGUGGGUGAAGAAGGCCUUCGGGUUGUAAAGCCCUUUUGUUGGGAAAGAAAAGCAGCAGGUUAAUACCCCGCUGUUCUGACGGUACCCAAAGAAUAAGCACCGGCUAACUUCGUG